AGAGUUUGAUCCUGGCUCAGAUUGAACGCUGGCGGCAUGCCUUACACAUGCAAGUCGAACGGCAGCACGGGAGCAAUCCUGGUGGCGAGUGGCGAACGGGUGAGUAAUAUAUCGGAACGUGCCCAGUCGUGGGGGAUAACGCAGCGAAAGCUGUGCUAAUACCGCAUACGAUCUACGGAUGAAAGCGGGGGACUCGCAAGAGCCUCGCGCGAUUGGAGCGGCCGAUAUCAGAUUAGCUAGUUGGUGGGGUAAAAGCCCACCAAGGCGACGAUCUGUAGCUGGUCUGAGAGGACGACCAGCCACACUGGAACUGAGACACGGUCCAGACUCCUACGGGAGGCAGCAGUGGGGAAUUUUGGACAAUGGGCGCAAGCCUGAUCCAGCAAUGCCGCGUGCAGGAUGAAGGCCUUCGGGUUGUAAACUGCUUUUGUACGGAACGAAAAGGUCUGCCCUAAUACGGCGGGCUCAUGACGGUACCGUAAGAAUAAGCACCGGCUAACUACGUGCCAGCAGCCGCGGUAAUACGUAGGGUGCGAGCGUUAAUCGGAAUUACUGGGCGUAAAGCGUGCGCAGGCGGUUAUAUAAGACAGAUGUGAAAUCCCCGGGCUCAACCUGGGACCUGCAUUUGUGACUGUAUAGCUAGAGUACGGUAGAGGGGGAUGGAAUUCCGCGUGUAGCAGUGAAAUGCGUAGAUAUGCGGAGGAACACCGAUGGCGAAGGCAAUCCCCUGGACCUGUACUGACGCUCAUGCACGAAAGCGUGGGGAGCAAACAGGAUUAGAUACCCUGGUAGUCCACGCCCUAAACGAUGUCAACUGGUUGUUGGGUCUUCACUGACUCAGUAACGAAGCUAACGCGUGAAGUUGACCGCCUGGGGAGUACGGCCGCAAGGUUG
This 894-nucleotide ribosomal RNA is filed under the name uncultured beta proteobacterium. RNAcentral's name for it is "bacterial SSU rRNA". It matches the Rfam family "Bacterial small subunit ribosomal RNA", at positions 8 to 896 of the family's 1533-position model. Lineage: Bacteria; Pseudomonadati; Pseudomonadota; Betaproteobacteria. The record is from RNAcentral.